RNAcentral lists this ribosomal RNA (253 nucleotides) under uncultured bacterium. RNAcentral describes it as "partial 16S ribosomal RNA". It matches the Rfam family "Bacterial small subunit ribosomal RNA", at positions 524 to 776 of the family's 1533-position model. The record is from RNAcentral.
UACGUAGGGUACUAGCGUUGUCCGGAUUUAUUGGGCGUAAAGGGCUUGUAGGUGGUUUGUCGCGUCAGUCGUGAAAUCCUGUGGCUCAACCAUGGGAUUGCGUUGGGUACUGGCAGGCUUGAGUGCAGUAGAGGUGGAUGGAAUUCCUGGUGUAGCGGUGGAAUGCGCAGAUAUCAGGAGGAACACCGGUGGCGAAGGCGGGUCUCUGGGCUGUUACUGACACUGAGGAGCGAAAGCGUGGGGAGCGAACAGG